This 497-nucleotide ribosomal RNA is filed under the name uncultured bacterium. RNAcentral describes it as "partial 16S ribosomal RNA". It matches the Rfam family "Bacterial small subunit ribosomal RNA", at positions 28 to 507 of the family's 1533-position model. The record is from RNAcentral.
GAUGAACGCUGGCGGCGUGCCUAAUACAUGCAAGUCGAGCGAACAGACGAGGAGCUUGCUCCUCUGACGUUAGCGGCGGACGGGUGAGUAACACGUGGAUAACCUACCUAUAAGACUGGGAUAACUUCGGGAAACCGGAGCUAAUACCGGAUAAUAUAUUGAACCGCAUGGUUCAAUAGUGAAAGACGGUUUUGCUGUCACUUAUAGAUGGAUCCGCGCCGCAUUAGCUAGUUGGUAAGGUAACGGCUUACCAAGGCGACGAUGCGUAGCCGACCUGAGAGGGUGAUCGGCCACACUGGAGCUGAGACACGGUCCAGACUCCUACGGGAGGCAGCAGUAGGGAAUCUUCCGCAAUGGGCGAAAGCUUGACGGAGCAACGCCGCGUGAGUGAUGAAGGUCUUCGGAUCGUAAAACUCUGUUAUUAGGGAAGAACAAAUGUGUAAGUAACUAUGCACGUCUUGACGGUACCUAAUCAGAAAGCCACGGCUAACUACGUG